This 17-nucleotide transfer RNA is filed under the name Elaphoglossum aff. vulcanicum AV-2008. RNAcentral's name for it is "partial tRNA-Ser". Lineage: Eukaryota; Viridiplantae; Streptophyta; Polypodiopsida; Polypodiales; Dryopteridaceae. The record is from RNAcentral.
AGGAAAGGGAGGAAUUC